Molecule: ribosomal RNA, 446 nt
Filed under: uncultured bacterium
Lineage: Bacteria
Description: bacterial SSU rRNA
Rfam family: Bacterial small subunit ribosomal RNA
Source: RNAcentral
ACUCCUACGGGAGGCAGCAGUGGGGAAUAUUGCACAAUGGGCGCAAGCCUGAUGCAGCAACGCCGCGUGAGUGAUGAAGGCCUUCGGGUCGUAAAGCUCUGUCCUCAAGGAAGAAUAAAUGACGGUACUUGAGGAGGAAGCCCGGCUAACUACGUGCCAGCAGCCGCGGUAAUACGUAGGGGGCAAGCGUUAUCCGGAAUCACUGGGCGUAAAGGGGUGCGUAGGCGGUUUUCAAGUCAGAAGUGAAAGGCUAUGGCUCAACCAUAGUAAGCUUUUGAAACUGUUAAACUUGAGUGCAGGAGAGGAAAGUGGAAUUCCUAGUGUAGAGGUGAAAUUCGUAGAUAUUAGGAGGAACACCAGUGGCGAAGGCGACUUUCUGGACUGUAACUGACGCUGAGGCACGAAAGCGUGGGGAGCGAACAGGAUUAGAUACCCUGGUAGCACAG